AGCUUUGUGCAGUGGCAGUAUCGUAGCCAAUGAGGUUUAUCCAAGGCACGAUUAUUGCUAAUUGAAAACUUCUCUCAAUUUCCACAUAUAAGUGAAUCCCCAAAUUUCUAUCUGUUCUUAAUUUCUUAUUAUGUUCUAUUGUGGUCAGUAGACA
This 154-nucleotide small nuclear RNA is filed under the name Rhinolophus ferrumequinum (greater horseshoe bat). RNAcentral describes it as "U4 spliceosomal RNA (ENSRFEG00010008567.1)". It matches the Rfam family "U4 spliceosomal RNA". Rfam says of the family: U4 small nuclear RNA (U4 snRNA) is a component of the major U2-dependent spliceosome. The structure of U4 snRNA from yeast and human has been reported. The record is from Rfam by way of RNAcentral. Lineage: Eukaryota; Metazoa; Chordata; Mammalia; Chiroptera; Rhinolophidae.